AAGGUAGCCGUACCGGAAGGUGCGGCUGGAUCACCUCCUUUCUAAGGAGCACCACGAGAAACACUCCAAUUGGUGGGGUGUGAGCCGUGAGGGGUUCUCGUCUGUAGUGGACGAGGGCCGGGUGCACAACAACAGGCAAUCGCCAGACACACUAUUGGGCCCUGAGACAACACUCGGCCGACUUCGGUUGAAGUGGUGUCCCUCCAUCUUGGUGGUGGGGUGUGGUGUUUGAGUAUUGGAUAGUGGUUGCGAGCAUCUAAAUGAACGCGUCGCCGGCAACGGUUACGUGUUCGUUUUGUGUAAUUUUUUCUUUUGGUUUUUGUGUUCGUAAGUGUUUAAGGGCACAUGGUGGAUGCCUUGGCAUCGAGA
RNAcentral lists this unclassified non-coding RNA (369 nucleotides) under Mycobacterium simiae. RNAcentral's name for it is "partial contains 16S ribosomal RNA, 16S-23S ribosomal RNA intergenic spacer, and 23S ribosomal RNA". Lineage: Bacteria; Bacillati; Actinomycetota; Actinomycetes; Mycobacteriales; Mycobacteriaceae. The record is from RNAcentral.